CCGGAGCUUGCUCCACCGGAAAAAGAGGAGUGGCGAACGGGUGAGUAACACGUGGGUAACCUGCCCAUCAGAAGGGGAUAACACUUGGAAACAGGUGCUAAUACCGUAUAACAAUCGAAACCGCAUGGUUUCGAUUUGAAAGGCGCUUUCGGGUGUCGCUGAUGGAUGGACCCGCGGUGCAUUAGCUAGUUGGUGAGGUAACGGCUCACCAAGGCGACGAUGCAUAGCCGACCUGAGAGGGUGAUCGGCCACAUUGGGACUGAGACACGGCCCAAACUCCUACGGGAGGCAGCAGUAGGGAAUCUUCGGCAAUGGACGAAAGUCUGACCGAGCAACGCCGCGUGAGUGAAGAAGGUUUUCGGAUCGUAAAACUCUGUUGUUAGAGAAGAACAAGGAUGAGAGUAACUGUUCAUCCCUUGACGGUAUCUAACCAGAAAGCCACGGCUAACUACGUGCCAGCAGCCGCGGUAAUACGUAGGUGGCAAGCGUUGUCCGGAUUUAUUGGGCGUAAAGCGAGCGCAGGCGGUUUCUUAAGUCUGAUGUGAAAGCCCCCGGCUCAACCGGGGAGGGUCAUUGGAAACUGGGAGACUUGAGUGCAGAAGAGGAGAGUGGAAUUCCAUGUGUAGCGGUGAAAUGCGUAGAUAUAUGGAGGAACACCAGUGGCGAA
RNAcentral lists this ribosomal RNA (667 nucleotides) under uncultured bacterium. RNAcentral describes it as "bacterial SSU rRNA". It matches the Rfam family "Bacterial small subunit ribosomal RNA", at positions 73 to 719 of the family's 1533-position model. The record is from RNAcentral.